GAGAGAGACCAUGCUACCCUGAACCUGCCUGAUCUCAGAAGCUAAGCAGGGUUAAGUCUGGCUAGUACUUGGAUGGGAGACCGCCUGGAAAUACCAGGUGCCCUAGGCU
This is a non-coding RNA of Podarcis lilfordi (Lilford's wall lizard), 109 nucleotides long. The record is from the annotation of a GenBank genome assembly. NCBI's taxonomy places the organism in Eukaryota, Metazoa, Chordata, Lepidosauria, Squamata, Lacertidae.